AGUGAACGCUGGCGGUAGGCCUAACACAUGCAAGUCGAACGGCAGCACAGUAAGAGCUUGCUCUUACGGGUGGCGAGUGGCGGACGGGUGAGGAAUACAUCGGAAUCUACUUUUUCGUGGGGGAUAACGUAGGGAAACUUACGCUAAUACCGCAUACGACCUACGGGUGAAAGCAGGGGAUCUUCGGACCUUGCGCGAUUGAAUGAGCCGAUGUCGGAUUAGCUAGUUGGCGGGUAAGGCCCACCAAGGCGACGAUCCGUAGCUGGUCUGAGAGGAUGAUCAGCCACACUGGAACUGAGACACGGUCCAGACUCCUACGGGAGGCAGCAGUGGGGAAUAUUGGACAAUGGGCGCAAGCCUGAUCCAGCCAUACCGCGUGGGUGAAGAAGGCCUUCGGGUUGUAAAGCCCUUUUGUUGGGAAAGAAAAGCAGCAGGUUAAUACCCCGCUGUUCUGACGGUACCCAAAGAAUAAGCACCGGCUAACUUCGUG
This 490-nucleotide ribosomal RNA is filed under the name uncultured bacterium. Its description in RNAcentral is "partial 16S ribosomal RNA". It matches the Rfam family "Bacterial small subunit ribosomal RNA", at positions 29 to 507 of the family's 1533-position model. The record is from RNAcentral.